GGAUUACUCCUUUACGCUUUCGCGUUUGGUUGAUAAAGAUUCGCACCUCUAUCAAACCGGGUAAUCCCACCUCUUGGCAAGACCUGCUGUCAGAUCAAAUCUGAACUACUACACAUGAUUGGACAAAAACGUACCACAGAAAACCACUGUCUCCAAAGAGAGACAAACAAUACUCAACAAAUACAAACGAUUAUCAGUAU
This 200-nucleotide small RNA is filed under the name Nitrosomonas europaea ATCC 19718. Its description in RNAcentral is "Proteobacterial sRNA psRNA2". It matches the Rfam family "Proteobacterial sRNA psRNA2". The record is from Rfam by way of RNAcentral. Lineage: Bacteria; Pseudomonadati; Pseudomonadota; Betaproteobacteria; Nitrosomonadales; Nitrosomonadaceae.